GACGAACGCUGGCGGCGUGCUUAACACAUGCAAGUCGAACGGAAAGGCCCUGCUUGCAGGGUGCUCGAGUGGCGAACGGGUGAGUAACACGUGGGUGAUCUGCCCCUUACUUUGGGAUAAGCCUGGGAAACUGGGUCUAAUACUGGAUAGGACCAUGCUGUAGGUGGUGUGGUGGAAAGAUUAGUUUCGGUAAGGGAUGAGCUCGCGGCCUAUCAGCUUGUUGGGGGGGUAAUGGCCUACCAAGGCGUCGACGGGUAGCCGGCCUGAGAGGGUGGACGGCCACAUUGGGACUGAGAUACGGCCCAGACUCCUACGGGAGGCAGCAGUGGGGAAUAUUGCACAAUGGGCGCAAGCCUGAUGCAGCGACGCCGCGUGGGGGAUGACGGCCUUCGGGUUGUAAACUCCUUUCAGCCAUGACGAAGCCCUUGUGGUGACGGUAGUGGUAGAAGAAGCACCGGCUAACUACGUG
Molecule: ribosomal RNA, 469 nt
Filed under: uncultured bacterium
Lineage: Bacteria
Description: partial 16S ribosomal RNA
Rfam family: Bacterial small subunit ribosomal RNA
Source: RNAcentral